Molecule: non-coding RNA, 114 nt
Organism: Acanthosepion pharaonis
Lineage: Eukaryota; Metazoa; Mollusca; Cephalopoda; Sepiida; Sepiidae
Source: the annotation of a GenBank genome assembly
UGAUGACCAUAUCACAUUGAAACACCACUUCUCAUACAAUCACCAAAGUUAAGCAAUAUUGAGCCUAAUCAGUACCUACAUGGAUGACCACUUGGGAAUACCAGGUGCUGUAAG